GACGAACGCUGGCGGCGUGCCUAAUACAUGCAAGUCGAGCGAUGACGUUUGGUCCUUGCACCAAUUUGAAGAUCAGCGAACGGGUGAUUAACGCGUGGUGAAUCUGCCUUUGAGCGGGGGACGACAUUUGGGAACGAAUGCUAAUACCCCAUAACAACUUUAAACAUAAUGUUUACGUUUUAAAUAUGCUAUUUCAUCACUCAAAGAUGAUCCCGCGUUGUAUUAGCUAGUUGGUGGGGUAAAGUCUCACCCAGGCGUUGAUAGAUAGCCGACCUGAGAGGGGGAGAGGCAACAUUGGGACUGAGACACGGCCCAAAACCCUGCGGGAGGCAGCAGUAGGGGACUCUCGGGGGAGGACGAAAGUCUGAACGAGCAACGCCGCGCGAGUGAAGAAGGUUGUCGGAUCGUAAAACUCAGUAGGUAGAGAAGAACGUUGGUGAGAGUGGAAAGCUCAGAAAGUGACGGUAACUACCCAGAAAGGGACGGCUAACUACGUG
RNAcentral lists this ribosomal RNA (497 nucleotides) under uncultured bacterium. Its description in RNAcentral is "partial 16S ribosomal RNA". It matches the Rfam family "Bacterial small subunit ribosomal RNA", at positions 28 to 507 of the family's 1533-position model. The record is from RNAcentral.